GACGAACGCUGGCGGCGUGCUUAACACAUGCAAGUCGAACGGAAAGGCCCCUUUGGGGGUACUCGAGUGGCGAACGGGUGAGUAACACGUGAGUAACCUGCCCUUGACUUCGGGAUAACUUCAGGAAACUGGGGCUAAUACCGGAUAGGAAUCCUUGCUGCAUGGUGGGGGUUGGAAAGCUUCGGCGGUUUUGGAUGGACUGGCGGCUUAUCAGGUUGUUGGUGGGGUAGUGGCUUACCAAGGCUUUGACGGGUAGCCGGCCUGGGAGGGCGACCGGCCACAAUGGGACUGGGAAACGGCCCAGACUCCUACGGGAGGCAGCAGGGGGGAAUAUUGCACAAUGGGCGGGAGCCUGAUGCAGCAACGCCGCGUGCGGGAUGACGGCCUUCGGGUUGUAAACCGCUUUCAGCAGGGGCGAAGCUGGUGGUGACGGUACCUGCAGAAGAAGCACCGGCUAACUACGUG
RNAcentral lists this ribosomal RNA (465 nucleotides) under uncultured bacterium. RNAcentral's name for it is "partial 16S ribosomal RNA". It matches the Rfam family "Bacterial small subunit ribosomal RNA", at positions 28 to 507 of the family's 1533-position model. The record is from RNAcentral.